AGAGUUUGAUCCUGGCUCAGAACGAACGCUGGCGGCAGGCCUAACACAUGCAAGUCGAACGAUAAGCCACCUUCGGGUGGUGGACAGUGGCAGACGGGUGAGUAACGCGUGGGAACGUGCCUUUCGGUUCGGAAUAACCCAGGGAAACUUGGGCUAAUACCGGAUACGCCCUUCGGGGGAAAGAUUCAUUGCCGAAAGAUCGGCCCGCGUCGGAUUAGCUAGUUGGUGGGGUAAUGGCUCACCAAGGCGACGAUCCGUAGCUGGUCUGAGAGGAUGACCAGCCACACUGGGACUGAGACACGGCCCAGACUCCUACGGGAGGCAGCAGUGGGGAAUAUUGGACAAUGGGCGCAAGCCUGAUCCAGCCAUGCCGCGUGGGUGAAGAAGGCCUUAGGGUUGUAAACCCCUUUCAGCGGGGAAGAUAAUGACGGUACCCGCAGAAGAA
RNAcentral lists this ribosomal RNA (445 nucleotides) under uncultured Microvirga sp. RNAcentral describes it as "bacterial SSU rRNA". It matches the Rfam family "Bacterial small subunit ribosomal RNA", at positions 8 to 489 of the family's 1533-position model. Lineage: Bacteria; Pseudomonadati; Pseudomonadota; Alphaproteobacteria; Hyphomicrobiales; Methylobacteriaceae. The record is from RNAcentral.